UUUAUGCCAAUUCUAGACAACUCCAGAUGUGUGUCUUUCCCACCAGUAUCUGCAGAGACUUGGCUCUGGAGAUAGAAUUAUGCUUGCCAACAGGCAGCGUCCCUGUGCCUUCAGACCCAAGGGUCGAGUUCCUGCUGCCACACUUUCAUCCCUGGCUCUGCUGCCAGAUGUGCUGUGGGAUGGAGGGCAGACAUGCUGGCCCUGAGUCUAAUCUGUCAUCAGCUGAGAGGCUGCUGGCUCCCGCAGUGCCUGUGAACCAAAGCUGCUCUGUUUGUUCCUCUCCCUUCGUCCUGAGCCAGGCAGUGCCAGAAGGAGGGAUUUCUUCUUAAGGAGCUGGGAAAAAUGAACCGACUAAUAGAUACGGUGAGACUGAGAAGGGCUACUGCAGGUUGAAAAGACAGAU
Long non-coding RNA from Lepidothrix coronata (blue-crowned manakin), 403 nucleotides. RefSeq lists it as uncharacterized. The record is from RefSeq and is a predicted model, not a curated record. The transcript has 3 exons. Lineage: Eukaryota; Metazoa; Chordata; Aves; Passeriformes; Pipridae.